UUUUCAGCCGCCGCGGUAAUACGUAGGUGACUAGCGUUGUCCGGAUUUACUGGGCGUAAAGAGCGCGCAGGCGGUCGUGCAAGUCGAGUGUGAAAGCCCCCGGCUCAACUGGGGAGGGUCACUCGAUACUGCUCGACUUGAAGGCGGGAGAGGGAAGCGGAAUUCCCGGUGUAGUGGUGAAAUGCGUAGAUAUCGGGAGGAACACCAGUGGCGAAGGCGGCUUCCUGGCCCGUUCUUGACGCUGAGGCGCGAAAGCUAGGGGAGCAAACGGGAUUAGAUACCCUUGUAGUCC
This 292-nucleotide ribosomal RNA is filed under the name uncultured bacterium. RNAcentral describes it as "partial 16S ribosomal RNA". It matches the Rfam family "Bacterial small subunit ribosomal RNA", at positions 505 to 796 of the family's 1533-position model. The record is from RNAcentral.